AGGAGAUGGCUCAGCAGUUAAGAGCACUAGCUGCUCUUCUAGAGGACCUGGGUUCAAUUCCCAGCACCUA
This is a non-coding RNA of Mus musculus (house mouse), 70 nucleotides long. Lineage: Eukaryota; Metazoa; Chordata; Mammalia; Rodentia; Muridae. The record is from Rfam.